This 124-nucleotide ribosomal RNA is filed under the name uncultured bacterium. Its description in RNAcentral is "partial 16S ribosomal RNA". It matches the Rfam family "Bacterial small subunit ribosomal RNA", at positions 355 to 472 of the family's 1533-position model. The record is from RNAcentral.
UGGGGAAUAUUGCACAAUGGGCGCAAGCCUGAUGCAGCCAUGCCGCGUGUGUGAAGAAGGCCUUCGGGUUGUAAAGCACUUUCAGCGAGGAGGAARGUGGUGARCUUAAUACGCUCAUCAAUGA